Molecule: ribosomal RNA, 465 nt
Filed under: uncultured bacterium
Lineage: Bacteria
Description: bacterial SSU rRNA
Rfam family: Bacterial small subunit ribosomal RNA
Source: RNAcentral
CCUACGGGAGGCAGCAGUGGGGAAUCUUGGUCAAUGGGCGAAAGCCUGAACCAGCGACGCCGCGUGAGUGAUGAAGGCCUUCGGGUUGUAAAGCUCUGUGGGGAGGGACGAAAAACUGGAGUCGAAUAGGCUACCAGGUUGACGGUACCUCCUUAGCAAGCACCGGCUAACUCUGUGCCAGCAGCCGCGGUAAGACAGAGGGUGCAAACGUUGCUCGGAAUCACUGGGCGUAAAGGGCGUGUAGGCGGACUCAUAAGUCGGGCGUGAAAUCCCUGGGCUCAACCCAGGAACUGCACUCGAAACUGCGAGUCUUGAGUACCGGAGAGGAAAGUGGAAUUCCUGGUGUAGAGGUGAAAUUCGUAGAUAUCAGGAGGAACACCAGUGGCGAAGGCGGCUUUCUGGACGGUAACUGACGCUGAGACGCGAAAGCGUGGGGAGCAAACAGGAUUAGAUACCCGUGUAGUC